RNAcentral lists this long non-coding RNA (2694 nucleotides) under Pan troglodytes (chimpanzee). Its description in RNAcentral is "long non-coding RNA NONPTRT005353". Lineage: Eukaryota; Metazoa; Chordata; Mammalia; Primates; Hominidae. The record is from RNAcentral.
CUCUGCCUUCUGUGACCUCAAUCUUCCUGGGACUCUUAGUCUUGGUUGGUCAUGGGGCAGGGGUGUCAGAGUUUUCCCAAUCUAGUUUCUAGAUUUCACAGACUCCAGAGGGCUGUUUCCUGGGAUCAAGGACACUUUGUUUUUUGUGUCCUGACUGUGGCUGUCAUGGUUAGAAUGCAUUCAUUAUGAAUCGAGCUGACAUUCUUUCAGGAAACAACUGGUCAUUAGAACAGAAUCUUCUCUCAUUACCAGCAUUUGGAAAGUUGAGUUUCAUUUUGUCGGUCAUUCAAUGUGCAUCUUUCCAAUAAUGUGGUAUGUCCAGCAUUCCAGCAUGAACCACAUAUUUCCCCAAGCUGACCAUACAGCUUUCUUCUGGAACUUUCACAGGAAACACCCUGAGAUGUAGCCUGCAGAGCUGAAGGCGACAGAUGAACCUCAGCCCCUCUGCAUUCAUUGCGCAACUAUGAGGGGACAAGCACUUUGCCCUCAGUUGUCGUCAGCCCACACUAUUCCUGUCUGGCACAGCCUCCCUUCCCAUUGGCCAAACUCUCACCAUUCCUUUUCAAGCUCCGCCUAAGUGUCUCACCCCUACACCCUUUCCCUUAAUCAGGCUGAAGUUGGAAUGUGUUCACCCAAUUUUAUUACAACUAAAUAUAUUCAGCUUAGCCUAAGCUUUAGCAGAUUUUAAUAGUUAUUAAUGGAAUAUUCAUCUAUUUCCCUAUACGCACUGUAAUCAACAUUCCCAUUCUCAAAUGCACUACUUAAAGUAUCUAAGAUCAGACACUUUAAGUAAUUUAAAUUUAUGACAAAGUUUUCUGAAGAUAUAAGCAGAUCCUGUUAGAUACAGAUGCACAUACAAUUCUUAUGAACAAUUUCAUGCACUGUAGCAUGAUCAAAAUAUCUGACCAGAGCCUGUCACUGCACCUUGUAGACAUUCUUACAAACAGCUCUUAUCUAAUCCUCAUAACCCAUCACCUGUCACCCAUAAGGGACAAUUAAACCAUGGAUCCAUAUGAUUACUGAAGGCUUGUUUCUUCAUUGGCUGCAGGAAUCUCAUGAAAAUCAUGUCUUCAUAUAUAGCAAAACUUUGGGCUUAUGCAUCCUUCUAGGAAGAAUAAGCAGUUAAUGGGCAUGAAAGGCCUUUGAACCCUAUGUAGCCCUGCACGUGUGCAAGCUGCUCUUUUAAGUGGACAGCAAAAGACAGUGGCAGACGUCAGGCUGGGCUCCAGAUCCAGCUCUACCUUAAUAGUCAGGUGAUCUCUAUCAGGUCAUUUGUAUUCUCUGAACCUCAGGUUUCUUGUCUGCCAAUGGAAAUUAUAAUAAUGCCUGCCCUGCUGUGAAGUUCAGAUGAGCUCACGGAUGUGAACACCUUCUGAGGGUCACAGAGCGACACUUGAAUGCCAGCCAUCAUUUGUUCACGUAUAUUAACUCUUACUUUCUACAACACUAGGAGAUAGAUAUCAUCCCCUCCUUUCACAGAUGUGGAGACUCCAAUGAUUAGACCUUUGAGGAUCUGACCUUCCAACUCAAAUCUCCCAUCCAAUGCUCUUCCCCUCUGUGCUCAGGCACCAUCCUCGGCUCCCAUCCCUGCUCACAGCUGCAUCAUGUGUACACUGUGAGCAUCACAUUGUAUAGUCUUACCUUAAGUCUGGGGUCCAAUCAGUUGUCAAGAGCCACACACUGGGAAGAGGGAGAUCAAGGAAAACCAGCCAAGCUCCUCCCAAUAUGAGGAUGUUUGCCAAGUUCCAGGGAGCACCUGCUACCCCUAGCCCUGGGUGAAGUAAGCACUGGAGAGAACAGACAGGAUACAAUGGCAUUGCCCUGAGAAGGCUUUUCAUCUGGCUGAGGCAAGGACUUAGAGACACAGCACAUCUCAAUUCAGACCAGCCACACUCCAGUGCUCGACAGCCACCUGUGGCUCACGGCCUGUACUGGACAGUGCAGCUGGAACCCAAUGGAUGAUUUUUUAAGGUCCCACUUGUGUCCCUCACUCAUCUACAGGCUCCAUGAAGUCAGAUAUCAAACAUUUCCAUUGCUACAUUCUCCAGGCCUAAUCUGGAUCCUCCCGGAGUGGCUCUUCAGUGAACAUCUACUGAAUUGAACAGACAUGCACAGAGCAGAUGGACAGCACUAGGGACUUGUCCUCUGGCCCCAGAGGCCCAUGAAAGAGUAUCCAGGCAGGCUGGACUAUGCUGGGAAGGGGGAAGGCCUGGGCCCUCAUUGAAAGGGAAGGACCCCAAAAGGAAGAGAAACCCAUCAACAUCCUGUUAACUAAAUGGAGAGAAAUGCUGUUUAGGGGAAAAAAAAAAUGAUAAAUAAAAUUCCUGAGAGAAGCUGCUAAGUCAGGGAGCACCACACUCAUCCCCUUCUGCAAGAGAAUGAGAAGAUGGAGCUACAGCUCCCGUCCCACAUCUGCAUCUGGUGUGGCCUUCCCGCCACGGGCCAUGGGUCAGACCUGGCUCCACAGACAAAGGGGCUGCUUAGGCUGGGCUUGAAAUAGGCUGAGUGAAAACCUGCGAGCCCCUGGCUCCUUCCCUGUGCAUGGAAAGGAGCUGUUGGUGAGUAUGGAGAUCUCUGCCCUUGUCAGAGGAAGGCUUCCUCAUCACAAGGCAGGGCAGGUGUCUGUGCCCAAGAGCUGAGCAGAGAACAAGCAGCCAGUGGAGGCUUUCGCCUGAACUGUGCAAUCCUUACCUG